GUAUUGAUAGCGCGUGAUUGCGCAAAGAACAUUCUACACUAGGGCGUUUGAUGUUAAAAACGUGAGCACCCCCCCCUCCGAGGAAGGGAGGACACACGCGGUGAUUCACAAAGGGGUGAGAUGGAUUGUAAGAGAGCACCGGAGCGUGCACAAAGUCAGCGACAGCCCCGGCACCUCCGUUAUACGAUAAUGAUCCUUCCGCAGGUUCACCUACGGAAA
Molecule: unclassified non-coding RNA, 219 nt
Filed under: uncultured fungus
Lineage: Eukaryota; Fungi
Description: sequence contains ITS1
Source: RNAcentral